This 253-nucleotide ribosomal RNA is filed under the name uncultured bacterium. Its description in RNAcentral is "partial 16S ribosomal RNA". It matches the Rfam family "Bacterial small subunit ribosomal RNA", at positions 524 to 776 of the family's 1533-position model. The record is from RNAcentral.
UACGUAGGGAGCAAGCGUUGUCCGGAAUCAUUGGGCGUAAAGCGCGCGUAGGUGGCUUCGUAAGUCCGUUGUGAAAGUCAAAGGCUCAACCUUUGAAAGCCGAUGGAUACUGCGGAGCUAGAGUACGGAAGAGGCGAGUGGAAUUCCUGGUGUAGCGGUGGAAUGCGCAGAUAUCGGGAGGAACACCAGCGGCGAAGGCGGCACUCUGGGCUGGAACUGACGCUGAGGAGCGAAAGCGUGGGUAGCAAACAGG